UAAGGGGGAGCGAUCCUUACUAAACUUUAUCAAACUCCGAAUACUCAACAGUGAUACUUGCCAGACAGACUGUAGGUGCUAAGGUCUACGGUCGAGAGGGAAAGAGCCCAGACCGCCAAUUAAGGUCCCAAAAUUAUGGCUAAGUGGUAAAGGAAGUGAAUUGUCCAAAACAGUCAGGAGGUUGGCUUAGAAGCAGCCAUCCUUUAAAGAAAGCGUAAUAGCUCACUGAUCUAAACAAGACGAUUUGCGCCGAAGAUGUAACGGGGCUAAAGCCAUAUACCGAAGUUGCGGAAUUGCACGUAAGUGUAAUUGGUAGCGGAGCGUUCUGUAAGCCUGCGAAGGUGUUCCGUAAGGAAUGCUGGAGGUAUCAGAAGUGAGAAUGCUGACAUGAGUAGCGAAAAGAAGUGUGAGAGACACUUCCGCUGAAAGUCCAAGGUUUCCUGCGUAAAGCUAAUCUGCGCAGGGUUAGUCGGCCCCUAAGGCGAGGCAGAGAUGCGUAGUCGAUGGGAAUCAGGUUAAUAUUCCUGAACCAACUAGGAAGUGACGGAUUCAGUAAAUUGUAUGUCCUUAUUGGAUUGGAUGUGCAGUGAAUGAGUCCCGGGAAAUAGCCCUAGUAUAGACCGUACCCGAAACCGACACAGGUGGACAGGUAGAGAAUACCAAAGCGCUUGAGUGAACUAUGUUGAAGGAACUAGGCAAAAUACUUGCGUAACUUCGGGAUAAGCAAGCCCCAUUUCUGGGCAACCAGAGGUGGGGGGCACAUACUAGGGGGUAGCGACUGUUUACUAAAAACACAGGGCUCUGCUAAAUUGAAAGAUGAAGUAUAGGGUCUGACGCCUGCCCGGUGCUGGAAGGUUAAGGAGAGAUGUGCAAGCAUUGAACUGAAGCCCCAGUAAACGGCGGCCGUAACUAUAACGGUCCUAAGGUAGCGAAAUUCCUUGUCGGGUAAGUUCCGACCUGCACGAAUGGCGUAACGACUUCCCCGCUGUCUCCAACAUAGACUCAGCGAAAUUGAAUUCUGAGUUAAGAUGCUCAGUACCCGCGGUUAGACGGAAAGACCCCGUGAACCUUUACUAUAGCUUUGCAGUGGUAUUAGGUGACAAAUGUGUAGGAUAGGUGGGAUGCUAUGAAGUUAUGACGCUAGUUGUAAUGGAGCAGACGUUGAAAUACCACCCUUUUGUUAUUUGAUAUCUAACCUGCUUCCGUUAUCCGGAAGAGGGACCCUGCAUGGUGGGUAGUUUGACUGGGGCGGUCGCCUCCCAAAGAGUAACGGAGGCGCGCAAAGGUUGGCUCAGAUUGGUCGGAAAUCAAUCGUUGAGUGCAAUGGCAUAAGCCAGCCUGACUGCGAGAGCGACAGUUCGAGCAGAGACGAAAGUCGGUCAUAGUGAUCCGGUGGUCCCGAGUGGAAGGG
RNAcentral lists this ribosomal RNA (1411 nucleotides) under human gut metagenome. Its description in RNAcentral is "bacterial LSU rRNA". It matches the Rfam family "Bacterial large subunit ribosomal RNA", at positions 920 to 2441 of the family's 2925-position model. The record is from RNAcentral.